CGCUUUAAACUUACUGCUCUACAGUUCUGCAGUGUUACCCAUUGGAAUGUAUCAGUUAAACAGGAAAGUUGGGGAAAACUUUUCAUUCAAAGAAACAUUUAGAAACACUGCAGAGGAAAGUCAAAGUUCAAAUGGAUUUGCAACACCAGUAGCUGACAGUUUUUGAGUGGCUGCUUGGCACACUUCAUGAGACAUCUGCUCUGCAUCCCUACUUUAAAUAAAGAUGGGAGAUUUGAACCAUCUGAAUGAAGAGAGAAAAGCAAAUAGAAGUUUACAAAAUAUCCAAAACUCUUUUAUUGCAAACUUUUUUUUAUUGUAAAAAGUUGAUGAUCGCUGACCUGUCAGUUUAAUUGUAUUGAUGUUAUACUAUGAAAGCUUUGACAGUCAAUCAAUUGGCUUCCCUCCAGAUGGUUUGUGAUGUCACAGACAUAACCAGCAUCUGCCACAAGAGCUCCACUGAAAGUCCUUUUGUAGUUCACUGACCAAGUCUUGGAAGGACUGAGUGUGGGAAACUGAGAGAGACUUUCUACUCACACCAAGAACAUUUCAGUAUAUAAAACAUCUAGAUCAAAAAUAGAAAUAAUCUAAGCAGAAGUUGCAGUAAAGAUGAAUAACUGAUUUAAGCAAUAAGUCCACUAAGUGAACAGAUCAGGUUGAAACGGGCACAUUUUCAACCAAAUUAGUUGAAUAAAGUGUUUUAAAAUUUCAGAUAAGAUUGACCAAACAAUAUAAACAAUAAAAAGUAAUAUCAGUUGAUUAAUUGGUACAAAAUAGUUUUAUGUUCUCCCAAAACUAAGAAAUGAGCUUUUCAGUGUUUGAUUUUGCAUGUGUGUUGGAAUAAUGAGUGUGUGAAAUAGUUUGACACCACAAAGUCGACUGACUCUUUAUAACAUUCCCACAUUCACAAAAAACUCCCUCCAGUCGUCCACCUGUUCCCCUGAGAUCAAACCAUUGUCCCCUGUUGACAUGAGUAGUGACCAUGUGGCAGGGCAGACUUCUUAUUAUCUCUAGUCCUGAGCUCUGAUUGGUUCAGACUGUGGGAAACUUCUUCCAGACCAAGACCCACACAUCUAAAUGGAGAUGAGGAACUAUAAAUAGGAGCGUGAAGGAAGCAGAGAUUGGAUUCAGACCUCCGCAGCACAGAAAUUCAACCAUGAUACGUUCAGAGUGCAGCAACGGAUAGCUCUCAGGCGCAUCUGGUUCUGAACCACAAGCACAGAAAGCCUCUGGUGAACGAACUUGCAGAAAGCGAAUCAACAGCAGCAUGGAACAGCUGGGUCCAGAGUUCCUCAAACAGCAGCCAGACUCCAAGCUGGAGAAAGCAGACAUCUUGGAGAUGCAGUGGAGAUACACUUCCUGUUCAAAGAUAAAGUGAAGCCACAGCCUCCAAAAAGACUACUGAACCAUUUCUACAAGUUGCUUCCACUGAAGAAAACCUGACAGGCUAGCUUCUCUGUUCUGAGCGCCACAGUCCAGACCAGCUUCUAUGAAGACAAGAGUUCAGUCAACAGCGCCCUCUGGAGGCCAUUGUAGAAAUCUACAGAUUUGAAUAAAAACUACUCAAACUAAGACCAUAUACUGUAGGUCCGACAUUAUUCAGCUGAAUUUCUCUGACUUUUCAAGGAAUAUUGCUUAAACUUAAACUACUCAAACUAAGACCAUAUACUGUAGGUCCGACAUUAUUCAGCUGAAUUUCUCUGACUUUUCAAGGAAUAUUGCUCAAUUUGAUUCUGUUUGAAUCGUCAGUUUUUCAAAACAUGAUAUUUCCUUAGGAAAUCAGAAUGAUGUCUUUCAUGUUGAGAAAGAAUGAAGCAAGAAGCUAAAAACCAUGUUGGUCAAAGAUUAAGGACACUGGGAUUAUUGAAAUUCAAAGCCUGAUUGUUUUUUCUGCUUAAACAGAAAGUUACUAAGCUGCAUUGAAAUGAAGUGAGUGUAUUUUGAUCUGUCAGAUUUAAAAGUAUUAUCAUUCAGUUUGACUUGAAAAGAAAUGUAACUUGUUUUAAAUGCACUCAGUUCACCCAAACCUUCUGUCAUUUAGGUUUUUAUACUUUAAGUUUUUCUUUCUUAUGGAAAGAUUGGGUCACUGAUCUUUUAUCAGAUAUAAAUUUGUACUUUUGAUCAUGUUGGUCAAAGAUAAAUGAAACUGAAAUGUUUAAAAUUCACAGACUAAUUCCUCUGUUGUUCAGAUGGUUGUUUAACUGAGCAGAAACUGAUUAUUUUCAGAAAGCUUUGAUAUAUCAGAUCUGAAAGUGUUACUCUUUUGUCUUAAAAGAUACCAAGUUUUAUCUUAGAGUGUACUGAGUUCACUCAAGAUAUAUCUUGUUCUUGCAUUGUAAAUUCAUUUCCUAUGGAAACACUAAAUCAUAGCAUCAUGAUUUUUCAGAAAAUCAGAUUUUCCUCCUUUUGUCUAAAAGGAUAUCUAGGAACUGUGAUUCUGUCUUAAUUGUUUAUGAACUUGCAUUUCGCUAAGAAAAAAAUAUAUUGAAUUCUCAUGUUGUGAAGCCUAUAGUACAUCACUUUGUGAUUUACCUAUUAUGAUCUUUUCUGAGAUCCAAUUUAUCUCUGACUUUAAUAGAAAGAAAUGUAUCAAUUAGAUGAAUGUUACAUCACAAAAUGUGCUUAUCUUUUGUAAAGACAAUUGUCCCUUUACUCAUUCUGAGUAAAGUGUCUUGGAGAUUUUCUCAAGUUGAUGUAUCAUCAUAGUGUUGUUACCUCAGCGGAAGUUGUCAUACUUUUAUUUCCGUUUCUCUGAACACCUACAGAAAAUAAAAUCAGAUACAUUUGCACUUGAA
Long non-coding RNA from Xiphophorus hellerii (green swordtail), 2792 nucleotides. RefSeq lists it as uncharacterized. The transcript has 2 exons. NCBI's taxonomy places the organism in Eukaryota, Metazoa, Chordata, Actinopteri, Cyprinodontiformes, Poeciliidae. The record is from RefSeq and is a predicted model, not a curated record.